CCUUUGUUCAACUGCGGCCUUGAGAUUCCAGAAGUAUCCUUCCUUUGCGAUCCUGAAUUAUUUCAGUCCAAGGACGGAGUCCCGGACCUCUUUCACUGUGUGGCACGUGACGUCCAGGCAAAAGAGGGGUCACUUGACCUGUGUUCCCUCUGUGAUUCCUUCAUUCAUGGAUGGCGUGUGGCUUGUUACAUUGAUGGAAAAGUGUACCUUGCAUGAAUGACCUGAGGGGAUUUUUAGGUCCAGUGGUUAGCGGAUUCUGGACCUCUCUGGCUGAGCAUGGGCUUGUUGGAAAUGGAGUGGCGCAAAGGUGUGUGAUUAUUGCUGUGCUACAAGUAUGGUUGACCUGUCGGUGAUAAUGAGACAUUUUGUCAUCUUUUAACCUCUUUUAGCAUUUUUGUCAUUUACACCUGUUCAAUUAUUAUUCCAACAUAGCAAUUUGUAGCCGGCUCUGAAAUGCAUAUGAGCUGGUUCUUACCCUCAGCCAAGCUCCCAAAGUUGUGUGGUGAGACAGGUCAUUAGCUGGAUGCCGUGUCUGGUUGGGAUGGGACACAGGAAGCAUCUGUGUCCGCAGCCGUCAUACUCCAAAGUCUGACACCACCAAAGAGACAGAGGAGGUGCCCGUCAGAUUAAUUCACCUUGAGUCAGGAAUAAGCUGGAAUGGUGUCGAUGUGCUGGCAUCCAGUCCUUUCUGGACAAUGACAGACAAUUGGAAAGGCCUAACAGAAAGAUGGUGUUGGCUGUGGACCGUCAUGAGACAAAACCUGACAUUAUCUGGAUAGUGCAGAUGUGCUAUGAAGAGGAACUCUGGUCAAUAGAUGAGUGUCCCACAGAGAGAGAAGUGCAUCCUGUUCCGGCAAAAACCUGCCUAAACCUAAUUUUGAUUGAGGAUUUUGGUCUGAGACAGGGUGUUGUCACUUUAAGACGAGCUGAUCUCUUUUUAAAAGCAGUGUGUUUUUGGAAUAGCAUGAUUUCCGGGGUGAUCAUGUGAUCGGAACGCACCUUUACCCAAGCCACUGAAGUGUUCAAUGCAGCCUUGAGAACAGGUGGUCCUCCUAGGACGUUUACUGUGCUAGUUAUGGACUGAAAACCACAAGAUAAAUUUGUUGCUUCAUCUGCCGAGUAGUUUUCUCCCUGCAGCUAGCACCAGAUCAAGCUUAGAAGAGCAAUGUCUUGAUCGCCUCCAAUUCUGGAUGAUGAUCUGUAAUGUAGGAAUGAAUAAAAGCACAAUUGUGCUUUUCAGGGUUAAUAAUGGUGUGUGCUGGUCAGGGUUAAUAAUGUAGCAGGAUUCUUAGUUUCAAUUAACCUGGACUACAUAGCACUCUCUUCUCUGCCCCUUCUACUCCACAGACGUGAUCAUAACACGCAAUGUGAAUCUUUAUGGAAGUGAAUAAUACCUGUUUUUAGAACAGCAUCCUGCAAUGCUUGUCAUUAAUAUAUAUAUAUAUAUAUAUAUAUUUUGUUCCUCUGUCACAAUUGCUUCUUAAUUCAUUAAGCCUACACAUGUAAGUCUUGUACCAAAUGUAUUAAAAGUUGUUCAGAGUUUUAGACUCUGAGAUGGCAUUGAAGCCCAAAGUAACUUACAGUACAACUCAUUGCAGGCGUUCAAACUCGUGCAACGUCGCCGCCCACGGCUGGUAGCAGAUUAGGGAAGGGCGACAGUGGAUGAGGGAGAAACAGUAGUUGAGGAGUCAGGGGUGGUAUCAGAUUAGGUAGGGGUUGGUAGCGGACAAAAAGAGAUGGCAGCGGAUGACAGAGGGAUGGUAGGGGAUCAGAGAGGGAUUGUAGCAGACGAUGGAGGGGUGGUAGUGGAUGAGGCAAAGGUUGUGGUUUGAUGAGGGAGCGGAGGUAAUGGAUGAAGCAGGGGCAGUAAUGGAUGAGGCCGCCAGGGUUGUAGUGGAUUAAGGAGGGGUGGCAGUGGAUGAGUGAAGGGUUGUAGAGGAUGAGGGAGGGGUGGCAGUGAAUGAGUGAGGGGUUGUAGAGGAUGAGGGAGGGGUGGCAGUGGGUGAGUGAAGGGGUUGUAGAGGAUGAGGGAGCAGUGGUAAUGUGUCUGUGUGUGUCCCUGUGUGUUGGCAGCCUUAGUUUUUGUUCUCUCUAAGUUUUAUAUUCCUGCACUGAGGGGAGUGGUCUUCCUUCUGAAUCCCCCUCCUACUUUUUAACAUAUACCUCACCUUCUGCCUUAGUUCCAAUUUAUUGAAAUGAUUGUAAAUUAGUUUGAAACAACAGACUUCUCCAAUCACUUGUUUCUGAAAAAUGAUGAGGAGUAAGAAUACUAAUAUAUAAAAAAUGGUUUUCCUUUUAUUUUUGUACGUAUGUGCUGUGCACAGAAGUUAACUGUAUUCCUGAAAUGUUAAUAAAAAAUGUUUUAUACGG
Esox lucius (northern pike) is the source of this 2370-nucleotide long non-coding RNA. Lineage: Eukaryota; Metazoa; Chordata; Actinopteri; Esociformes; Esocidae. The record is from Ensembl.